CGCACGCCACUUCCCUCAGCCUGUAGAACUUCCGGCAGCAACUGCAAUUAGGGGUAGUCCAGUGCUAAAUUGUCGCAGCCUUGAAAAUAUUCUGCUUCGUUAUUUCGGGCACUCCACAGAUUCUGUUGCGAAGGCAGCCAUCUUUAGUUCGUCUUUCCUAGAGAGCGUUGAGAAGAUUCUGCUCCAUUUUUUCUGAUUAUGGAUUCUGUUCAGAAGGAAGCCGAAUUUUAAGUCAUCGUUCUAGGAUAGAUUCAGCUCCAUUUUCUCUGGUGGUAGAUCUCCAUGGAUGCUAUUGAGAAGGUACUUCUCAAAGUCCACGAGGACAAGGACAUCUUUCCACCGAAUGCCACCUGGUUUAUAACAAAAGCAUGAAAAACAAACAGGAAUUUCUCAAUGCAGAAAGGACUGAAGCUGUCAAAGGUGUGCUUUUUUUCUGCACAAACAAGUUUCCAUUGAAUGAUAGAAUAAAGAGAUACUGACUUCCCCGGAGCCUCCAAACUUGAGUAGUCAGGCAUUGGGAUCCGUGGAAGGCUUGUUAAAUCCAAAUAGAUUGGUCCUACUCCAUCCGCAGAGUUGCUGACGAGGUGCGUCCAGGAAUCUCUUGCCCCAAGUUUCAUUCCAAGUAUUUAAAUUGGAAUUGAGCAUCCUGUCAUGCCAGGGAUGAGAAUGCCUGGGUUACAUCAGUUAGCCCUCUCCUCUUGAGGAAUGGCAUAUUACCCAUUUUAGUUUAAGAACACAGAUGAAAAAUCACCAAGUAAAAAAGGAGCAUAGGGAGGAAUCCAGGAGAAACCAGGCUCAAGCUUCCAGCCACCCUCUUCCAGUGGAGUCAAGUGCACUGCACUUAAUUCUCCCAGCCAGGUGUGCGGCCACCUGUGCCAAGUGUUCCCAACCAGCUGCACUUCAAGGGAAGUUAUUGAAUAUGUCCUAUCCAACUAAAACAAGGAAAUGAUGAAAAAAAUAAAAUCACUUUCCAGAGGCCUCAGGGCUAACUGGAGACAGAGCUCAGACUGCAACUGAGAAAAGUUGGACUCCAAAACCUGUACUCUGAGCUUUACUGCAUGAGAAAGUUAUUGAAAUGUGCCUUGUGACAUUCAGAAUAAGUGACUUUUCAGAGGUCUCAGAGUCAGUAAGAGACAGAACUCAGAUUGUAACCAAGAAGAGCUGAACUCCAAACUUCUGUGUCCGGAAUUGGUGGGUUCUUGGUCUCACUGACUUCAAGAAUGAAGCGGCAGACCCUCGCGG
Molecule: long non-coding RNA, 1242 nt
Filed under: Homo sapiens (human)
Lineage: Eukaryota; Metazoa; Chordata; Mammalia; Primates; Hominidae
Description: HSALNT0281142
Source: RNAcentral